Long non-coding RNA from Pungitius pungitius (ninespine stickleback), 743 nucleotides. RefSeq lists it as uncharacterized. The record is from RefSeq and is a predicted model, not a curated record. Lineage: Eukaryota; Metazoa; Chordata; Actinopteri; Perciformes; Gasterosteidae. The transcript is spliced from 2 exons.
UUGUUGUUUCAUCAUUAUUAUUAUUAUUAUUAUCAUUAGAAACUAUCUCUCACUACUGUUUUAGCUCCUGCAAAUGCUGAUGACGGCCUCUUCAUGGUGCUGAAAGUAGGCGGUUUGAUUCUGCUCCUGGCUUUAGCAAUGGGUAGCCUGGUUCUCCUGUACUUCAUCAAAAAGAAGAAACACCGGUAUCAGCCCCAGCUCCAGAUCAUCCAGAUGGUUGGACCCAAUCAGCGGCUUUCUUAGCAGCGCCAGUCUCAUCUUUUUCCGUUCUAAUCGCCGCGCUUGACUUCAAGGUGUAACCUUUAUUAUUGUUCGGUCUGAAACGGCGCGUCCAGUGACGGAUGGUGCAGCAAUAUUGUUGUCCGGAUGGAAAUCGGGAGAAAUUCGGGAGAAAGGUCGGUCCGGGAGAUUUUCGGGAGGGGCUUUGAAAUUCGGGAGUCUCCCGGAAUAUUCGGGAGGGUUGACAUGUCUGAUUGUAAGAUAUGCAAAAGCGACAUGGCCUGGCACGGGAGCACCACGGCGACGAUUCAGCACCUUAAACGGAAACAUGUUGGAAAAAUCUAAUCUAAAUAUUUUUUGUGCCUAAUAUAUUUAAUUUGGCAGCUGUAAAGUAUACAUCAUGCGAUGUGUGUAUGUUUUUUGUGUUAGUCCAUUUUAUUUGCUUACUUAGCAAUCUGUUUGUGCACUUUCUAAAUAUGUUUUGCACUGUCAGUUGUAUUUUUCAAUAAAGGGUUGGAAAUUAA